RNA transcript from Carassius auratus (goldfish), 1387 nucleotides. It is a transcript of the gene named SAGA-associated factor 29-like, with no coding region annotated. The transcript is spliced from 10 exons. Lineage: Eukaryota; Metazoa; Chordata; Actinopteri; Cypriniformes; Cyprinidae. The record is from RefSeq and is a predicted model, not a curated record.
AUGAGGUUUGUCCCUUCAAUGGGUCCGUACAAGGCCUAGCUCAAAAGCUAGCCAAUCAACGCAUAGGGAAAACAAAUCCUACAAUUCGUUAAGGAAAGCGAAACUGUAAUAAAUAAAUGUUUUUUUUCGUUCAUAGUUCGUGUAUUAAUGAGUUGAGCUUGGAGUAUCGCGGAACUGUGUGUUUGAAGGUACAAUGGCUUUAGUGUCAACAGACACCAAAAUCGCAGAGUUUCUAAAUGAGCUGCAUCAGCUCAUAAAGCAAACUCAGGAAGAGCGAUCGAGAAGUGAACACAACCUUCUCAACAUCCAGAAAACACAUGAAAGGAUGCAAACAGAGAAUAAGACUUCUCCAUACUACCGGACAAAACUGAGGGGUCUUUACACUACAGCUAAAGCUGAUGCUGAGGCUGAAUGUGGUAUACUUCGCGGGGCGCUUGACAAGAUUGCCGAAAUUAAAUCCCUUCUGGAGGAGAGACGGAUUGCUGCCAGGAUGGCAGGCGUGUACAGUGACACCGACACACCCAGAAAGACCAUGCGCAGGGGUGUCCUGAUGACCCUGUUACAACAGUCAGCCAUGACACUUCCUCUCUGGAUCGGCAAACCUGGCGAGAGUCCACCUCCACUGUGUGGCGCUAUACCAGCAAGCAGUGACUAUGUGGCUAAACAGGGCGACAAGGUGGCGGCGCGGGUGAAGGCCGUGGAUGGGGAUGAGCAGUGGAUUCUUGCUGAAGUUGUCAGCUACAAUCACUCCACCAACAAGUAUGAAGUGGAUGACAUUGAUGAAGAGGGUAAAGAGAGACACACAUUGAGUCGGAGAAGAAUAAUUCCUCUUCCGCAGUGGAAAGCAAACCCAGAGACGGACCCCGAGGCCCUGUUCAGUAAGGAUCAGCUGGUGCUGGCCCUCUAUCCACAGACUACGUGCUUUUACAGAGCUCUGAUCCACACUCCGCCACAUCGGGUGAGCAGAACAAGUGUAGGAUAAGAGGCUUCAGAGAUACUUGAAGUGUUGAAGAUUGGUUAUCACUCUUGAUGAUGCUACAGGGAGCCCCAGGAUGACUACUCGGUUCUGUUUGAGGAUACAUCUUAUGCUGAUGGCUAUUCUCCACCUCUCAACGUCGCUCAGCGAUAUGUAGUGGCCUGCAAGGAGAACAAAAAGAAGUGAUAGAAAUAUACGAAAUGCAACAUUAUUUGCAAAAACUUUGUUGUGAUUGAAAACAGGAUAUUGAGCAUUUUUCCCCAUUUCUGUUACCACGCACAUAGUAUUGGUGUAUUUUAUACUGCUUCUUUUGUAUGAUGUUUUUCUGAAUCUGAAUGCAAGGACACCAACUGUAACUGAAUUGGGCUCAAGUAAUAAACUCUUGUGAAUUAAAGGUACACUAAUCACAAA